CGGAGGAUGCAAGUGUUAUCCGGAAUCACUGGGCGUAAGCGUCUGUAGGUCGUUAAAGUCUACUGUUAAAUUGAAGCUUAACUUCAAGAUGCCGUAGAACUUUAACUUGAGUAUGGUAGGGUAGAGGGAAUUUCCAGUGGAGCGGUGAAUGCGUAGAUAUUGGAAAGACCACCAAUGGCGAAGGCACUCUACUGGGCCAUUACUGACACUGAGAGACGAAGCUAGGGGAGCAAAUGGGAUU
RNAcentral lists this ribosomal RNA (241 nucleotides) under uncultured bacterium. RNAcentral's name for it is "partial 16S ribosomal RNA". It matches the Rfam family "Bacterial small subunit ribosomal RNA", at positions 526 to 779 of the family's 1533-position model. The record is from RNAcentral.